This 29-nucleotide non-coding RNA is filed under the name Mus musculus (house mouse). The record is from RNAcentral. Lineage: Eukaryota; Metazoa; Chordata; Mammalia; Rodentia; Muridae.
UUGCAAUUAUGAUUACUGUUGGACAUGCC